GAUGAACGCUGGCGGCGUGCCUAAUACAUGCAAGUCGAGCGAACGGACGAGAAGCUUGCUUCUCUGAUGUUAGCGGCGGACGGGUGAGUAACACGUGGAUAACCUACCUAUAAGACUGGGAUAACUUCGGGAAACCGGAGCUAAUACCGGAUAAUAUUUUGAACCGCAUGGUUCAAAAGUGAAAGACGGUCUUGCUGUCACUUAUAGAUGGAUCCGCGCUGCAUUAGCUAGUUGGUAAGGUAACGGCUUACCAAGGCAACGAUGCAUAGCCGACCUGAGAGGGUGAUCGGCCACACUGGAACUGAGACACGGUCCAGACUCCUACGGGAGGCAGCAGUAGGGAAUCUUCCGCAAAGGGCGAAAGCCUGACGGAGCAACGCCGCGUGAGUGAUGAAGGUCUUCGGAUCGUAAAACUCUGUUAUCAGGGAAGAACAUAUGUGUAAGUAACUGUGCACAUCUUGACGGUACCUAAUCAGAAAGCCACGGCUAACUACGUG
RNAcentral lists this ribosomal RNA (497 nucleotides) under uncultured bacterium. RNAcentral describes it as "partial 16S ribosomal RNA". It matches the Rfam family "Bacterial small subunit ribosomal RNA", at positions 28 to 507 of the family's 1533-position model. The record is from RNAcentral.